UUCCAGAUGAGAAAACUGAGGCAAACAAGAUGGAAUCCCAGAAUUCCAGGGCUCCAAAAGGGACCUCAGGGGACAUUGACUCCAUCCCUGGCAGAACAGAAACCCCUUCUUGAUCAUCCCGUGAACAAUGCCAUCUCCACCUUGGUCUUGACUCCUUCCUUUGGAAUGUUCCAACAGACGAGAGGGAUGCUGAUGUUCUAGGCAGAGAAUUGUGGUUUCAGGUGGGAAGGGAAUGGCUGAGAGAGAUGAAUCAGAGGAGCAGCUGGGCUUAUGUUCCUGUCUGGACCAGUGACAUCAAAGCCUGAGUAACCCAGAGCACAUGCUUUUCUUCUUCAUGGGCCUCCCUGGGAGGUUUCUGUGUAUGCCCACUCUCCCUCCCCCCAGACAUAGAGCCAUUGGUGGGAGAAGGUGACUUAAACCCAUGGGAGCUGAUGAAGUCAACAAAUGAGACUCAAGGCAGAGUCUUGGGGAAUGCUCAUAGACAGGGGAUAUAAUACAGAUGAUGAGGUAGCAAAGGCAUGGUCAGAUAGGUUGGUGUGUAGGAAUAAAGGUCCAAGCUCUGCACUCAGCACCCAAGGACUGUAAAAGACCUCUGGUACCUCCUCUGGAGGAUGUAUGGAAAGGUGAGGACAAUGCACCCUAGUGGUAAGGGCAUGGAGAAUUCAUGAUCUGCCCUGGUAUUGGGAGUGCCCAAACACACGAGGAAAUGGAUCCAUCUCACUUAUGAAGUGAGUCAUUUUCUUAGCUUCAUUCUCUUAGCUUUCCAGCCAUGCUUAUUGCAAACCUUGUUCAGCCCAUGAUUCCCUGCCCUCCUUCUGGACCUCCAUCCUA
Phascolarctos cinereus (koala) is the source of this 831-nucleotide long non-coding RNA. RefSeq lists it as uncharacterized. The record is from RefSeq and is a predicted model, not a curated record. Lineage: Eukaryota; Metazoa; Chordata; Mammalia; Diprotodontia; Phascolarctidae.